UGUUUUGGCAGCACAUUUACUAAAAAAAAAUUGGAAUGAUACAGAGAAGAUUAGCAUGGCCCCUGCGUAAGGAUGAAUGCAAAUUUGUGAAACAUUCCAUAAAAAA
This 106-nucleotide small nuclear RNA is filed under the name Canis lupus familiaris (dog). The record is from RNAcentral. RNAcentral also lists the same sequence under 1 other name. Lineage: Eukaryota; Metazoa; Chordata; Mammalia; Carnivora; Canidae.